CCUACGGGCGGCAGCAGUGGGGAAUAUUGCACAAUGGGGGAAACCCUGAUGCAGCGACGCCGCGUGAGCGAAGAAGUAUCUCGGUAUGUAAAGCUCUAUCAGCAGGGAAGAAAAUGACGGUACCUGACUAAGAAGCCCCGGCUAACUACGUGCCAGCAGCCGCGGUAAUACGUAGGGGGCAAGCGUUAUCCGGAUUUACUGGGUGUAAAGGGAGCGCAGGCGGCGCGGUAAGUCUGAUGUGAAAGCCCGGGGCUCAACCCCGGGACUGCAUUGGAAACUGUCGUGCUGGAGUGUCGGAGGGGCAAGUGGAAUUCCUAGUGUAGCGGUGAAAUGCGUAGAUAUCACGCAGAACCCCGAUUGCGAAGGCAGCAUACCGGCGCCCUACUGACGCUGAGGCACGAAAGUGCGGGUAUCGAACAGGAUUAGAUACCCUUGUAGUC
This 440-nucleotide ribosomal RNA is filed under the name uncultured bacterium. Its description in RNAcentral is "partial 16S ribosomal RNA". It matches the Rfam family "Bacterial small subunit ribosomal RNA", at positions 338 to 795 of the family's 1533-position model. The record is from RNAcentral.